Molecule: ribosomal RNA, 422 nt
Filed under: uncultured Fluviicola sp.
Lineage: Bacteria; Pseudomonadati; Bacteroidota; Flavobacteriia; Flavobacteriales; Crocinitomicaceae
Description: bacterial SSU rRNA
Rfam family: Bacterial small subunit ribosomal RNA
Source: RNAcentral
UGAGGAAUAUUGGUCAAUGGGCGCAAGCCUGAACCAGCCAUGCCGCGUGCAGGAAGAAUGCCCUAUGGGUUGUAAACUGCUUUUAUCAGGGAAUAAACCUCAAUACGUGUAUUGAGCUGAAGGUACCUGAUGAAUAAGCACCGGCUAACUCCGUGCCAGCAGCCGCGGUAAUACGGAGGGUGCAAGCGUUAUCCGGAAUCAUUGGGUUUAAAGGGUCCGCAGGCGGAUUUAUAAGUCAGUGGUGAAAGCCUGCAGCUCAACUGCAGAACUGCCAUUGAUACUGUAAGUCUUGAAUUCGGUCGAAGUGGGCGGAAUAUGACAUGUAGCGGUGAAAUGCUUAGAUAUGUCAUAGAACACCGAAAGCGAAGGCAGCUCACUAGGCCUGGAUUGACGCUCAGGGACGAAAGCGUGGGGAGCAAACA